This 1284-nucleotide long non-coding RNA is filed under the name Anas platyrhynchos platyrhynchos (common mallard). RNAcentral describes it as "lncRNA (ENSAPLG00000024764.1)". Lineage: Eukaryota; Metazoa; Chordata; Aves; Anseriformes; Anatidae. The record is from RNAcentral.
AUGGAAAUCAUUUAUAAAAGCCUGAACAAGGAAGCCAAACUCAGAGCACUGUUCGAUUCAGUGGGGAUCCUGCCUAGCCUCCUCCAAACGCCUGAUGCCCACACGGCACACAGGGGUCGAGCUGGCUUCGGGCUUGUUCUGAAGGCCAAAGGCGAUGACCUGAAGCCGCUGCUCCACGCCGCCCACAGAGCUGCGAUGUUCACCGCCGGCUCUCAGCUCCUCACCCCCUCCUCCAGCUGUUCCUUCCCCUCUGCCUCCCACGAGGCCCUCACCGCAGCAGCCUGGGCAGGGCGCAGAAGACGAGAAAGUUGGAAGUUGCAAACUCCCCCUGCAGAAACCCCCACAGGCGCCCACCGCUCCCCUGCGGCACUCCGGCCGGCAGCAGACAGCUCAAAGGGGAAAUUAAAAAUAAAUUCCCCCAAAGCGCGGCCGGCCCCGCGCUGCCAGGCGCCUCAGCGAGCUGCUCCGGCACCGCCGCCGGGCACGGCCCGCCUGAGGGGCGCGGGGCGGGCUGGGGGCAGGCCGGGGGCAGGCCGCCGGGUCACCGCCACGGGGAUCCCACACGGAUCGAUCACCACAGAUCACCUCCGCGGCCCCCUCCCCUCCCGCGGCAGGAGGCCGAGGGGAGGCCGGCGGCGGGGCCGGGGCGCUGAGGGGAGCCCUGGGCAGCCCGGCCCCGAUCCCGGCCCCAGCGCCUCAGCCCGGGAUGGCGCCGGGGGGGGGGGGGGGGGAGGGGAGGGAGCAGGGCCCCGCCGCCCUCACACUACCUCGCUCCCCGCCACCUCCCCGACUGACAGCCGCGAACGCCAAUGCGCGGAGCCGCCUGCCAGCCGCCGGCCAAUCGUGGCUCGCGGGAGGCGGGCCGAGGCGCCCCAGCAUGGUGAGCUGCGCCUCUCGCUGCGCCUCUCGCUGCGCCGUGGGCCCAACGGGCCGAGCGCGGAACGGAGCGCCGCCGAGCGCUGCCCAGGGCCGGGACGCGGGGUCGCGUUAGGGCCGGGCGGCGCAGACGAAGCUCACCUGGCGGCUGCCCCGGGGCGGCGGCGGCGGGGCGGGCUGGGCCGUGCGGGCCGGGGCUGCGCCUCACAUUCAAACCGCGCCGAGAGGGCGCGGCGGCGGCACCGUGACGGCAGCGCGCGGGGCGGAGGCGGGGCCUGGCCGCCGGGCCAAUGGGCGGCCUCCCCUUCCGCGCGGAGAGCCAAUCGCGGCCCUGCUCCACACACGGGGCUGGCGGCCAAUAGGCGGCCGCGGCCCGCUGCGGAGGGCCGGGGCCUGGCCUGCGGCUGA